Molecule: ribosomal RNA, 1318 nt
Filed under: Mycolicibacterium porcinum
Lineage: Bacteria; Bacillati; Actinomycetota; Actinomycetes; Mycobacteriales; Mycobacteriaceae
Description: bacterial SSU rRNA
Rfam family: Bacterial small subunit ribosomal RNA
Source: RNAcentral
UGGGCCCUGGCGGCAUCUACCAUGCAAGUCGACGGAAAGGCCCUUCGGGGUACUCGAGUGGCGAACGGGUGAGUAACACGUGGGUGAUCUGCCCUGCACUUUGGGAUAAGCCUGGGAAACUGGGUCUAAUACCGAAUAGGACCGCGCUCUUCAUGGGGUGUGGUGGAAAGCUUUUGCGGUGUGGGAUGGGCCCGCGGCCUAUCAGCUUGUUGGUGGGGUAAUGGCCUACCAAGGCGACGACGGGUAGCCGGCCUGAGAGGGUGACCGGCCACACUGGGACUGAGAUACGGCCCAGACUCCUACGGGAGGCAGCAGUGGGGAAUAUUGCACAAUGGGCGCAAGCCUGAUGCAGCGACGCCGCGUGAGGGAUGACGGCCUUCGGGUUGUAAACCUCUUUCAAUAGGGACGAAGCGCAAGUGACGGUACCUAUAGAAGAAGGACCGGCCAACUACGUGCCAGCAGCCGCGGUAAUACGUAGGGUCCGAGCGUUGUCCGGAAUUACUGGGCGUAAAGAGCUCGUAGGUGGUUUGUCGCGUUGUUCGUGAAAACUCACAGCUUAACUGUGGGCGUGCGGGCGAUACGGGCAGACUAGAGUACUGCAGGGGAGACUGGAAUUCCUGGUGUAGCGGUGGAAUGCGCAGAUAUCAGGAGGAACACCGGUGGCGAAGGCGGGUCUCUGGGCAGUAACUGACGCUGAGGAGCGAAAGCGUGGGGAGCGAACAGGAUUAGAUACCCUGGUAGUCCACGCCGUAAACGGUGGGUACUAGGUGUGGGUUUCCUUCCUUGGGAUCCGUGCCGUAGCUAACGCAUUAAGUACCCCGCCUGGGGAGUACGGCCGCAAGGCUAAAACUCAAAGGAAUUGACGGGGGCCCGCACAAGCGGCGGAGCAUGUGGAUUAAUUCGAUGCAACGCGAAGAACCUUACCUGGGUUUGACAUGCACAGGACGCCAGUAGAGAUAUUGGUUCCCUUGUGGCCUGUGUGCAGGUGGUGCAUGGCUGUCGUCAGCUCGUGUCGUGAGAUGUUGGGUUAAGUCCCGCAACGAGCGCAACCCUUGUCUCAUGUUGCCAGCACGUUAUGGUGGGGACUCGUGAGAGACUGCCGGGGUCAACUCGGAGGAAGGUGGGGAUGACGUCAAGUCAUCAUGCCCCUUAUGUCCAGGGCUUCACACAUGCUACAAUGGCCGGUACAAAGGGCUGCGAUGCCGUGAGGUGGAGCGAAUCCUUUCAAAGCCGGUCUCAGUUCGGAUCGGGGUCUGCAACUCGACCCCGUGAAGUCGGAGUCGCUAGUAAUCGCAGAUCAGCAACUCGCGAAUCGUCC